This 222-nucleotide long non-coding RNA is filed under the name Mytilus galloprovincialis (Mediterranean mussel). The record is from RNAcentral. Lineage: Eukaryota; Metazoa; Mollusca; Bivalvia; Mytilida; Mytilidae.
GUGAAAGUUUAUUGAAAAAUUUAGAAUGUGUGAGUAAGAUGUUUACAACCUACUAACAAGAGAUGAAUACAAAGAAGGCCUUUGAUUGGUUAAUAAACCUACAUAACCUAUAACCAUUGACAUAAGUUUAAAUCUCAUGUAUGAAGAAGCAUUUAUAUAUUUGAAUACAAUGUACUGCAGGAAAAGAUCAUUUUAUAUACUUAUCAUAUUUCAUAACUGGGC